UUUCUCAACGACAAAAGUAGCACAAUAAGACUCCAAUGAAGUAGUAGUCUCUUUCUUUUCCUCACCAAUACCAUUCUUGCUCCUAAUUUCUCUUCUGUCAAACACCAAUUUUACUACAGAUUCAGUUAAGCAUUCACUCAAACAUAUAAUCUACAUACCAGUUUUGUCUUCUCAGUUGUUCCUCAUUCGCCGAUUGGGUCGCCGGUUUCCGGCAUGGGACUCCGGCAUAUCCGAAAACCCACCUCGUAUACAUCGAAUUUUUUUCACCGGAGCUCAAAAUUUAAGCCAACACAAUGAUGAUACUCAAAGACACACUGAAGUGGAUAACAAACCAUUCUUGCUCCUAAUUUCUCUUCUGUUAAACACCAAUUCUACUACAGAUUCAAUUAAGCAUUCUCUCAAACACAUAAUCUGCAUACCAGUUGUGUCUUCUCAGUUGUUCCUCAUUCGCCGGUUGGAUCGCCGGUUUCCGGCAUGGGACUCUGGCAUCUCCGAAAACCCACCUCGUAUACAUCGAAUUUUCUUCACCGGAGCUCAAAAUUUAAGCCAACACAAUGAUGAUACACAAAUACACACUGAAGUGAUAAUAAGCUCAGCAACAGUAUAAUAGACCUAUAAAAGCUCCUAACUUUUUUCGCCUUUUUU
This 645-nucleotide long non-coding RNA is filed under the name Nicotiana tabacum (common tobacco). Its description in RNAcentral is "long non-coding RNA (NTAB_LNC006578)". The record is from RNAcentral. Lineage: Eukaryota; Viridiplantae; Streptophyta; Magnoliopsida; Solanales; Solanaceae.